UGGACUAAACCUCUCUCCCUACUUAUUUUAAGUUUGGCCCACAGGCUUCUCCGUACUUUGUGAAUUAGAAUCUCUGUUGCUAAGUAAACCAGCCAAUGGAACCUACUCUCCCUACAGGUCAGGACCCCUGACAGUGCCAGCCAGAACCUUUCCUGGAGAGGUCACUGGCAGCAAGAUAAGAAGCACCUCAGUUCUCCUGGUUGCUGUCAGGGUUGUAUUAACUUGCAGACUUGCAGGAUGGCAGCUGCAAAUCCAUCCAUCAUACCUGUCCCUGCGUGUGCACAUCAGAGAGUCACAGACAUGGAAAACACCCACUGGGAGUCACAGGUGAGUCAAGCUGUUUUCUUCUUUUUCUUUUUUUUUUUAAUUAGCACAGGUUUCCA
This 383-nucleotide long non-coding RNA is filed under the name Fukomys damarensis (Damara mole-rat). Its description in RNAcentral is "lncRNA (ENSFDAG00000028700.1)". Lineage: Eukaryota; Metazoa; Chordata; Mammalia; Rodentia; Bathyergidae. The record is from RNAcentral.